GGAGGGUGCAAGCGUUAAUCGGAAUUACUGGGCGUAAAGCGCACGCAGGCGGUUUGUUAAGUCAGAUGUGAAAUCCCCGGGCUCAACCUGGGAACUGCAUCUGAUACUGGCAAGCUUGAGUCUCGUAGAGGGGGGUAGAAUUCCAGGUGUAGCGGUGAAAUGCGUAGAGAUCUGGAGGAAUACCGGUGGCGAAGGCGACCUACUGGGCACCAACUGACGCUGAGGCUCGAAAGCAUGGGUAGCAAACAGGAUUAGAUACCCUGGUAGUCCAUGCCGUAAACGAUGAUUACUAGGUGUUGGGGUUUAUUAACCUUGGUAACGAAGCUAACGCGUGAAGUAGACCGCCUGGGGAGU
RNAcentral lists this ribosomal RNA (354 nucleotides) under uncultured bacterium. RNAcentral describes it as "bacterial SSU rRNA". It matches the Rfam family "Bacterial small subunit ribosomal RNA", at positions 527 to 881 of the family's 1533-position model. The record is from RNAcentral.